UGCAGCUCUUGAAGAUGGUGGGCAGCAGGAAGUUGAGCAGAGCCCAGAGCUCGGGCAGUUUGUUCUGCAGCGGGGUGCCGGUCAGCAGCAGGCGGCGCGGCGCCACGUAGUGCGUGUUCAGCACCUGGGUCAGCUUGCAGUGGUGGUUCUUCAUGCGGUGGCCCUCGUCCACAAUCAUGUACUUCCAGCGGAUCUUGGCGAGGAUGUGCU
Molecule: long non-coding RNA, 210 nt
Filed under: Gallus gallus (chicken)
Lineage: Eukaryota; Metazoa; Chordata; Aves; Galliformes; Phasianidae
Source: RNAcentral